This 508-nucleotide ribosomal RNA is filed under the name uncultured bacterium. RNAcentral describes it as "partial 16S ribosomal RNA". It matches the Rfam family "Bacterial small subunit ribosomal RNA", at positions 29 to 523 of the family's 1533-position model. The record is from RNAcentral.
AUUGAACGCUGGCGGCAGGCCUAACACAUGCAAGUCGAGCGGCAGCGGGAAAGUAGCUUGCUACUUUUGCCGGCGAGCGGCGGACGGGGGAGUAAUGCCUGGGAAAUUGCCCAGUCGAGGGGGAUAACAGUUGGAAACGACUGCUAAUACCGCAUACGCCCUACGGGGGAAAGCAGGGGACCUUCGGGCCUUGCGCGAUUGGAUAUGCCCAGGUGGGAGUAGCUAGUUGGUGAGGUAAUGGCUCACCAAGGCGACGAUCCCUAGCUGGUCGGAGAGGAUGAUCAGCCACACUGGAACUGAGACACGGUCCAGACUCCUACGGGAGGCAGCAGUGGGGAAUAUUGCACAAUGGGGGAAACCCUGAUGCAGCCAUGCCGCGUGUGUGAAGAAGGCCUUCGGGUUGUAAAGCACUUUCAGCGAGGAGGAAAGGUUGAUGCCUAAUACGUAUCAACUGUGACGUUACUCGCAGAAGAAGCACCGGCUAACUCCGUGCCAGCAGCCGCCGUAA